This 404-nucleotide ribosomal RNA is filed under the name Actinomycetes bacterium. RNAcentral describes it as "Actinobacteria bacterium partial 16S ribosomal RNA". It matches the Rfam family "Bacterial small subunit ribosomal RNA", at positions 355 to 776 of the family's 1533-position model. RNAcentral also lists the same sequence under 1 other name. Lineage: Bacteria; Bacillati; Actinomycetota; Actinomycetes. The record is from RNAcentral.
UGGGGAAUAUUGGACAAUGGGCGCAAGCCUGAUCCAGCCAUGCCGCGUGAGUGAUGAAGGCCCUAGGGUUGUAAAGCUCUUUCACCGGUGAAGAUAAUGACGGUAACCGGAGAAGAAGCCCCGGCUAACUUCGUGCCAGCAGCCGCGGUAAUACGAAGGGGGCUAGCGUUGUUCGGAUUUACUGGGCGUAAAGCGCACGUAGGCGGACUUUUAAGUCAGGGGUGAAAUCCCGGGGCUCAACCCCGGAACUGCCUUUGAUACUGGAAGUCUUGAGUAUGGUAGAGGUGAGUGGAAUUCCGAGUGUAGAGGUGAAAUUCGUAGAUAUUCGGAGGAAUACCAGUGGCGAAGGCGGCUCACUGGACCAUUACUGACGCUGAGGUGCGAAAGCGUGGGGAGCAAACAGG